GUACACUCCUACGGGAGGCAGCAGUGGGGAAUAUUGGACAAUGGGCGCAAGCCUGAUCCAGCCAUGCCGCGUGAGUGAUGAAGGCCCUAGGGUUGUAAAGCUCUUUCACCGGAGAAGAUAAUGACGGUAUCCGGAGAAGAAGCCCCGGCUAACUUCGUGCCAGCAGCCGCGGUAAUACGAAGGGGGCUAGCGUUGUUCGGAAUUACUGGGCGUAAAGCGCACGUAGGCGGAUCGAUCAGUCAGGGGUGAAAUCCCAGGGCUCAACCCUGGAACUGCCUUUGAUACUGUCGAUCUGGAGUAUGGAAGAGGUGAGUGGAAUUCCGAGUGUAGAGGUGAAAUUCGUAGAUAUUCGGAGGAACACCAGUGGCGAAGGCGGCUCACUGGUCCAUUACUGACGCUGAGGUGCGAAAGCGUGGGGAGCAAACAGGAUUAGAUACCCGAGUAGUCCCCAUGAU
This 455-nucleotide ribosomal RNA is filed under the name uncultured organism. RNAcentral describes it as "partial 16S ribosomal RNA". It matches the Rfam family "Bacterial small subunit ribosomal RNA", at positions 331 to 803 of the family's 1533-position model. The record is from RNAcentral.